Mirounga angustirostris (Northern elephant seal) is the source of this 2389-nucleotide long non-coding RNA. RefSeq lists it as uncharacterized. The transcript has 2 exons. Lineage: Eukaryota; Metazoa; Chordata; Mammalia; Carnivora; Phocidae. The record is from RefSeq and is a predicted model, not a curated record.
UGGACCGCGCGGCGGGAUCCGAACGCUCAUGGUAAUUGGCCGCUGGCUGUGUAGGCCGCUACUUUUUCGCGCAUGAGGAAGAGGAAAGAAGUGCCCUUCCGGGCUCUGAAAUGUGAGGAGAUUUAUGGUUCCCCACGUUGGUAAUACAGUUUGGAGGCUGGAGCUCGGUUCUGUUUAUCUUGGUGUCUAAGCCACUUAGAAACCCCAACGCGUGUUACGCAUAGAUGGCUUUAGGUCUGUAGCUUCUGCGGCAGUCGCGCUUCUUUGAGGAGUUAGCUUGGCAUUUUCUUUUUUUCAGAGUGAACAUUCUCCUCCAUGGGAUAAAGCGCGCUUAGUUUUUACACAAUAGUGUGGAAGGUUCUGGUAAUGAGUUUGGGAGAGGACUAGGGUCUGUCCUCAGGAGCCAUAGUAAGAGAGGGAUAUGUCAGUAGAGCAGUCUUUACAGCUUCCAGCUCAUUCGAGCUCUGUCGAAAUUGAUCUUUCGGUAUCAUUCUCUUUCAUAUCUACAAGGAAGAGACUUAAGAGAGCACUAGUAUCCCGUGUUGGAAUCCUUCCUCAGAGCAGGAUUUACGUGUCAGUGUGUUCUACCAGUCCUUUCCCCUUAUUUCUCAAAAUGGCUUCAGGCCCAUUAUACCCGAAGUUUCAGUUUGAAUCUGCCUCUCUGUUCAGAGUCGUAAACUGACCAGACCUCUUUGUAUUACGUAGGUGCGUUCAUUUGCCCUGAAGGCAGUUCUUUCCCAAACGAAAGCUGUUAAAAAAAAAAAAAAAAUUACUCCAGGAAAUUUAAAGGCUUCUUAAUUUGAUAGUCCCUUAACAUAACUGUAACUUAAAAGGUAUGGUGUUGAUACGGAGUUGUAUGUAAGCAAAAUAAUUUUAUUCUCGUUAUGACAUUUUUCAUAUUAGGUGCUAGACAUUUUUAGAUUACAGCGUUAAGCGAAUGGGAAUCAGAAACUAAUUUUGUGGUAUGUUUUGUUUGCGUUAGGAGUUAACGUUGUUAACCUUUUUAACCCUCCAGUUCCAUUAAAGCAUCAUUUGAGUCAAACUGCGUAAACUCUAUAAUAAUGUAACAAAUCGCUCUUAUUUUUAUAAUGUGAACACAUUAUAAUUAAACUUACCUAUACUUGUGUAUGAUCAGAAAGUCAACAAAAAAGUCACCAUUAAUACUAAUUCUGCAACUUUUUCACCUGAAUUUUCUUACUUCUGAACAUUUUUGGAAUAGCGACUGAAACAUAUAUAAUGACAUAAACUGUUAGUGGGUUAUUAUUAGAUUGGUUGAAAGACUCACCUGAAUUAUUUUUUUCGACCAGUGUAUUGAAAUUAAUUUGUGCUGCACAUUGUACUUAGAUAUUAGAGAUUUUUUUUUUUUACUGUGUGAAUUGUAUUUCUGCCUUCUAGGAAGUGAUGAUACAAUCAAGGAACCAAAUGCAAAUGAAUAGUAGUAUCUGAUUAAUACUUUCAGAGAGGAGUAGACAAAAAUGGGCACCGUUAAUUUGUCCACUUGUUCUGUAAACAUUUAUAGAGUUCCUGCUGUGAGUCAGGCACUGUACACAACACCAAAGAGUGGGGUGCCUAACUGCCAAAGGACUGAUAUUUUAAGCAAGGCAUUAAAGAAUGAGUGAAAGUUUGAUCAGUGGAGAAAAGAAGCAGCAUGUGCAAAGGUAUGAGAGUUUUUGGAAUGACAGGAACCCAGGAAUGAAGUCACUGGAGGAUAAUGGUGGUUGGGGGAAAGAGGGUGGAAAUUGAGUAAUCUCUACACCCGAUGUGGACCGAGGUCAAGAGUUGCAUGCUCUUCCGACUGAGACAGCCAGGUGCCCCCCAAAGCCUUUUUUAAAUCAAGCAUUUUAAUAUUUAAUCCUGAUAUGCUUUGUGAGGAAAAGGGAAAUCUGGAAACCCCAGGAGGUACAGUUGGGAACUGAUAUAUAUAUUUAAUUUUAAGUGAUAUGUUUGGAUUUUAAGACUCAAGUCGUUGAAUAUAUACUUAUCCUUUCCAGUUUUCUAAUUAUAAUGAAGCAUGAAGCAGUUGGUUUAGUUCCACAUCAGGAUCCCUUUGGGGGAAUUCUAGGCAACAGAAGUUCGAAUUUUCUGUGUAAUUUUUUAACAUGGAAAAUUUCAAACAUACUCAAAAUUAACAGAAUAAUCUAAUGAACCUCCAAUGAGCAUAUCACUCACCUUUGGUGAUUACCCCCUUAGAGUAAUUAGCAUGGAGCUAUGUAGAAAUUGGGACAUCUCCACCAUUGACUUACCAUGUAACCUGGUUAAGUUCCCUCUUGAGAUUUUUUCUGCUGUAAAAUGGAUCACUAUCUCACUAAGUAUUCUCACCUCUUAGGAUUGUUUGAUGAUUGAGUGACAAAAUGAGUAUAAAACAUAUAGUAUGGAGUUUGGCCUAUUG